Haliaeetus leucocephalus (bald eagle) is the source of this 722-nucleotide RNA transcript. It is a transcript of the gene named NADH dehydrogenase (ubiquinone) 1 beta subcomplex, 9, 22kDa, with no coding region annotated. The transcript is spliced from 5 exons. The record is from RefSeq and is a predicted model, not a curated record. NCBI's taxonomy places the organism in Eukaryota, Metazoa, Chordata, Aves, Accipitriformes, Accipitridae.
CGCGCGAAGGUGAGGGGUAGGGCAGCCCGAAAUGGCGGCCUACCUGACGCACCAGCAGAAGGUGCUGCGGCUCUAUAAGAAAUCCCUGCGGCACCUGGAGUCCUGGUGCAUCUACCGAGACAAGUACCGCUACUUUGCCUGCCUCCUGAGAGAACGAUUUGAUAAGAACAAGGAUGUGAAGGAUAUGGUGAAAGCUACAGAGCUGCUGAAGGCAGGUGAGGAGGAGUUCUGGGCAAACCAGCAUCCUCAGCCAUACAUCUUCCCUGACUCCCCUGGGGGCACUUCCUAUGAGAGAUACGAGUGCUACAAGAUUCCUGAAUGGUGCUUGGAUUACUGGCAUCCUUCUGAGAAGGCAAUGUAUCCUGAUUACUUUGCCAAACGAGAGCAAUGGAAGAAGCUGCAGCGGGAAAGCUGGGAUAAAGAGAUUAAGCAAUUGGAAGAAGAAACUCCAGCUGAUGGUCCAAGAACUGAAGCUUUGCCUCCAGCUCGUAAGGAAGGUCAUCUGCCACCACUGUGGUGGCAUUAUGUUACGAGACCUCGUGAAAUGCCCAUGUAAAAGCAUUACUUCACGUGAGAAUCAAAGCGGUCUAUCUUCUGUAGGCAGUUGACAUGGCAGUGACCGCAUGCUACUCUAAAGUACUUUCAGACUGUCUGUUACCGAGUAUCUUAAAAAAUUCAUUGAUUACAGAUUGGAAUGGAUAGAGACAAAUUAGUUUCCUCAC